GCUUAAGGUCUCUGGCAGUUCAGAAAAGAUAGUCCUUUCUGUGAAGAGCUUGGUCUGUAAAUAUGAGAACUUGCCUCGUGGAUGUGCCUGCCAACAGGUAGCAGCUGCCUUUGAGGGUUAAGGUUAUUGAUUCUGAUACAGCAACAUCACAGUGUGGGUGGAAGAAGAGCUCCGGAAGAAUUGAUCAUCUCAGAGAGGAAAAAAGAAAAUUAUUUUUACCCCCGGGAAAGAUAUUUAAUUUUGUCUGGUCUUUUUAUUUGACAGUAUUUCUGUUCAGUUAAUUAUAAUUCCAAAAACAUGCUGUUAUAAAUUAUUUGCAAUAUAUGUUCUUCAGAUUUCAUUUGUCACCCUCUGAAAAUGUAUUGAACUAAUAAUGAAUGGGCACUCCGAUCCCAUAAAUAGAAAUAGCUGGAGUCAGAAAUAUUUAGCUUCCAAUCCAUAUUUUGGAGAAUUUGUUGAGUUCCUUGGAGAGUUCUGAUCUAGCUGCUAUGUACAAUGCCACAGAUAUUCUUCCAGUGGCACUGGAGAUCAUUAUAAGCAGCAAGGUUAAUUUGUGAGAGAAAGAGGAGAAAGCUGAUGCUAAGGCCUGAUGCUUCAGGGAAAACAAAACAAAAAGAGGUGAUCAGUUAGAGACUUUUUCUUAUGAUAGCUGUAGUCUCUAGUGUCCUCUAGUGUGAUUGCUGUCAUUUAAGAAGCAUGCAUCAUGUUAGAAUAAAAGGUAGAAUAAACACAUUCUUGCUAUUUCACUG
This is a long non-coding RNA of Cygnus olor (mute swan), 749 nucleotides long. RefSeq lists it as uncharacterized. The transcript has 3 exons. Lineage: Eukaryota; Metazoa; Chordata; Aves; Anseriformes; Anatidae. The record is from RefSeq and is a predicted model, not a curated record.